RNAcentral lists this ribosomal RNA (443 nucleotides) under uncultured bacterium. RNAcentral's name for it is "bacterial SSU rRNA". It matches the Rfam family "Bacterial small subunit ribosomal RNA", at positions 354 to 796 of the family's 1533-position model. The record is from RNAcentral.
GUGAGGAAUAUUGCGCAAUGGCCGAAAGGCUGACGCAGCGACGCCGCGUGGAGGAUGAAGUCCGUUAGGAUGUAAACUCCUUUUGCAGGGGAUGAAUGUGGCGCCUUGAGCGCCAUUGACCGUACCUUGCGAAUAAGGAUCGGCCAACUACGUGCCAGCAGCCGCGGUAAUACGUAGGAUCCGAGCGUUGUCCGGAAUUACUGGGUGUAAAGGGCGUGUAGGUGGAUUUUCAAGUCGGUGGUGAAAUCCUGCAGCUCAACUGCAGAAUUGCCUCCGAUACUGGAGAUCUUGAGUGCGGCAGAGGGAGACGGAAUUCAUGGUGUAGCGGUGAAAUGUGUAGAUAUCAUGAAGAACACCGGUUGCGAAGGCGGUCUCCUGGUCCGUUACUGACACUGAGGCGCGAAAGCGUGGGGAGCAAACAGGAUUAGAAACCCUAGUAGUCC